This 497-nucleotide ribosomal RNA is filed under the name uncultured bacterium. Its description in RNAcentral is "partial 16S ribosomal RNA". It matches the Rfam family "Bacterial small subunit ribosomal RNA", at positions 28 to 507 of the family's 1533-position model. The record is from RNAcentral.
GAUGAACGCUGGCGGCGUGCCUAAUACAUGCAAGUCGAGCGAACGGACGAGAAGCUUGCUUCUCUGAUGUUAGCGGCGGACGGGUGAGUAACACGUGGAUAACCUACCUAUAAGACUGGGAUAACUUCGGGAAACCGGAGCUAAUACCGGAUAAUAUUUUGAACCGCAUGGUUCAAAAGUGAAAGACGGUCUUGCUGUCACUUAUAGAUGGAUCUGCGCUGCAUUAGCUAGUUGGUAAGGUAACGGCUUACCAAGGCAACGAUGCAUAGCCUACCUGAGAGGGUGAUCGGCCACACUGGAACUGAGACACGGUCCAGACUCCUACGGGAGGCAGCAGUAGGGAAUCUUCCGCAAUGGGCGAAAGCCUGACGGAGCAACGCCGCGUGAGUGAUGAAGGUCUUCGGAUCGUAAAACUCUGUUAUUAGGGAAGAACAUAUGUGUAAGUAACUGUGCACAUCUUGACGGUACCUAAUCAGAAAGCCACGGCUAACUACGUG